Molecule: ribosomal RNA, 35 nt
Filed under: Propithecus coquereli (Coquerel's sifaka)
Lineage: Eukaryota; Metazoa; Chordata; Mammalia; Primates; Indriidae
Source: RNAcentral
GAAUCGCCCGAUCUCAUCUGAUCUCGGAAGCUAAG